GAUGAACGCUGGCGGCGUGCCUAAUACAUGCAAGUCGAGCGAACACACGAGGUGCUUGCUCCCCUGACUUUAUCGGCCGACGGGUCAGUAACACGUGGUUAACCUACCUAUACGACUGGGAUAACAUCGGGAAAUCAGAGCUAAUACCCGAUAAUAUAUUGAACUGGAUGGUGCACUAGUGAAAGACGGUUUUGCUGUCACUAAUAGAUACCUCCGCGCCGCAUUAGCUAGUUGGUAAGGUACCGGCUUACCAAGGCAACGAUGCGUAACCGACCUGAACGGGUAAUCGCACACACUGGAUGUGAGAAACGGUCCAGACUCCUAGGGGAGGCGGCAGUAGGGACUCUUACGCAAGGGGCGAAAGAUUGACGGUGGAACGUCGACUGAAUGAUGAAGGUGUACGGAUGGUAAAGCUCUGAAAUUAGGGAAGAACUAAUGUGUAAUUAACUAUGAACAUCAUGACGGUACCUAAUCAGAAAGCCCCGGCUAACUACAUG
This 497-nucleotide ribosomal RNA is filed under the name uncultured bacterium. RNAcentral describes it as "partial 16S ribosomal RNA". It matches the Rfam family "Bacterial small subunit ribosomal RNA", at positions 28 to 507 of the family's 1533-position model. The record is from RNAcentral.